Molecule: unclassified non-coding RNA, 526 nt
Filed under: Hevea brasiliensis (rubber tree)
Lineage: Eukaryota; Viridiplantae; Streptophyta; Magnoliopsida; Malpighiales; Euphorbiaceae
Source: RNAcentral
UUUUUUUUUUUUUUUUUUUGCAUUUCUAAGUGAUAAUGGCAAACAACAGUUUUUCUGUUGCACAAAGAAAUUAAGACAUUCAAGUAAAAGACACAAAGUAAUUAGUUGUGGACAUCACCAGAUACCUCAUCACGUUCUCUCCUAUGGGCAUCUCUUAGAGGCGAUCGAGAUCUAUGUUUGCUCCUGUGAUUGUGAUCUGAUGGAGAAGUUGAUAGCCCAUUCCUGGCUCUAGAAGACUUGCCAUCAGUUGCAUCUCUCCCUGACCUUCUCUCCAUUCUCUCAGCUCCAUCCCUAUCUUCACCUCUUUCUCUAUGUGUAUUCUUGUCAGUAACCCUUCCAUGAUUCUUUUCAUACUCUCUCUCAGUCAAUAUCUCAGCCUCUCUUUCUCUACGUGCACUCUUAUCACUUCCCUUGACAUGACUUUUCUCACGUUCUCUCUCAAACAAUUUUUCUGUCUCUCUUUCCCUAUGCAUACCCUUAUCAUCCCCCUUGCCAUGAUUCCUAUCACGGUCCCUCUCCACUACAA